GUAGGGAAUAUUGGGCAAUGGGGGAAACCCUGACCCAGCGACGCCGCGUGAGGGAAGACGGCCUUCGGGUUGUAAACCUCUUUUGUACGGGAAGAAGGAAGUGACGGUACUGUACGAAUAAGUCCCGGCUAACUACGUGCCAGCAGCCGCGGUAAUACGUAGGGGACGAGCGUUGUCCGGAAUUACUGGGCGUAAAGGGCGCGCAGGCUGUGCUGCAAGUCAGCUGUGAAAUGUCUGGGCUUAACCCGGGCAUGCGGUUGAGACUGCAGUGCUGGAGUGCUGUAGAGGCAAGUGGAAUUCCCAGUGUAGCGGUGAAAUGCGUAGAUAUUGGGAAGAACACCGGUGGCGAAGGCGACUUUCUGGACUGUAACUGACACUGAGGCACGAAUGCGUGGGUAGCAAACAGGAUUAGAAACCCUGGUAGUCC
RNAcentral lists this ribosomal RNA (427 nucleotides) under uncultured bacterium. RNAcentral describes it as "partial 16S ribosomal RNA". It matches the Rfam family "Bacterial small subunit ribosomal RNA", at positions 354 to 796 of the family's 1533-position model. The record is from RNAcentral.